Molecule: ribosomal RNA, 510 nt
Filed under: uncultured bacterium
Lineage: Bacteria
Description: partial 16S ribosomal RNA
Rfam family: Bacterial small subunit ribosomal RNA
Source: RNAcentral
GACGAACGCUGGCGGCGUGCUUAACACAUGCAAGUCGAACGAAGAGCGAUGGAAGCUUGCUUCUAUCAAUCUUAGUGGCGAACGGGUGAGUAACGCGUAAUCAACCUGCCCUUCAGAGGGGGACAACAGUUGGAAACGACUGCUAAUACCGCAUACGAUCUAAUCUUGGCAUCGAGGAUAGAUGAAAGGUGGCCUCUACAUGUAAGCUAUCACUGAAGGAGGGUAUUGCGUCUGAUUAGGUAGUUGGAGGGGUAACGGCCCACCCAGGGGAUGAUAAGUAGCCGGUCUGAGAGGAUGAACGGCCACAUUGGGACUGAGACACGGCCCAGACGCCUACGGGAGGCAGCAGUGGGGAAUCUUCCGCAAUGGACGAAAGUCUGACGGAGCAACGCCGCGUGAGGGAUGACGGCCGUCGGGUUGGAAAGCUCUGUUAAUCGGGAGGAAAGGCCUUCUUGCGAAUAGUGAGAAGGAUUGACGGUACCGGAAUAGAAAGCCACGGCUAACUACGUG